GUUGUUCUGCCAAGGGCAUGGCUGGGUAGCUAUGUACGGAAUGGAUAAGCGCUGAAAGCAUCUAAGCGCGAAGCCAACUUCAAGAUAAGAUUUCCCACCGCAAGGGUAAGACCCCAGAAAGACUAUCUGGUUGAUAGGUCGAAGGUGUAAGUGCAGCAAUGUAUUUAGCUUAUCGAUACUAAUAGGUCGAGGACUUGACCAAU
Molecule: ribosomal RNA, 203 nt
Filed under: Clostridioides difficile
Lineage: Bacteria; Bacillati; Bacillota; Clostridia; Peptostreptococcales; Peptostreptococcaceae
Description: partial 23S ribosomal RNA
Rfam family: Bacterial large subunit ribosomal RNA
Source: RNAcentral